GCUGGGCUUGGUUGCAGGUGCUUAUAGUCCCAGGUACUCAGGAGGCUGAGUCCUAGGCUAUAGUGCAUUAUGCCAACCAGGUGUCUGCACUAAGUUUGGUAUCCAAAUGGUGACCUCCCAGGAGUGGGGGACUACCUCAGAAAUGGAGCAGGUCAAAACUUCUGUGCUGAUCAGUAGUGGGAUCUUGCCUGUGGAUAGCCACUACACUCCAGCU
Gorilla gorilla gorilla (western lowland gorilla) is the source of this 214-nucleotide unclassified non-coding RNA. It matches the Rfam family "Metazoan signal recognition particle RNA". Rfam says of the family: The signal recognition particle (SRP) is a universally conserved ribonucleoprotein. It is involved in the co-translational targeting of proteins to membranes. The record is from Ensembl. Lineage: Eukaryota; Metazoa; Chordata; Mammalia; Primates; Hominidae.